Molecule: ribosomal RNA, 109 nt
Filed under: uncultured Faecousia sp.
Lineage: Bacteria; Bacillati; Bacillota; Clostridia; Eubacteriales; Oscillospiraceae
Source: RNAcentral
GUAAUGAUUGCGAUGAGGGUCCACCUGUUCCCAUCCCGAACACAGAAGUUAAGCUCAUCUGCGCCGACAAUACUUUGCGGGUGACUGCACGGAAAGAUAGGUAUUGCCA